UAGAGGCAAAACAAAUAAGAAAAAUCAGUCCUAGUAAUUGACAAGGAAAUUGAGAUGAAAAAGCAAAGGGAAAAAAGAUUUCUACUAUAGGAAUACAUCAACCCCAAGAAGGAUUCUUCUUACUGCAAGUCACCCUCAAAUUUUCUAGGUCUAUUCUAGGUUUACAUUAAAGAAAGAAGGGUUCUACAUGGCUACAAAAUAAGAAGAAGAAUAAGAAAAGAAGAAUGUCAAAGUAGAGUAGAAGAAAGAAACUAAAAAAAGAGAAGAGGAAGGAGGCCGCAAAGCAUGGGAGAGUUUGUGUCAGUCAAUGGGAAUUCUACAUGGAACAUUUU
This 332-nucleotide long non-coding RNA is filed under the name Carica papaya (papaya). Its description in RNAcentral is "long non-coding RNA (CPAP_LNC005456)". The record is from RNAcentral. Lineage: Eukaryota; Viridiplantae; Streptophyta; Magnoliopsida; Brassicales; Caricaceae.